ACGGAAUCAUCCGCUUCCCUCGGGCCUCGGCAGUUCCGCUCCGCCCGUCUCUCUCGUUCCCCUUCCUUUCUCCUCUCUCCCCUCCCCAAAAUCAGCUGAUAGAUCCUCAAAUUAGGCCAAUGAGAAGAGCAGAUCAGGUCGGGACGCCGCGGAUCUGAGCAGAUCGGGUCCUUCCCGGCACUCGUGUUGCUUGUGCCGCUCGCGCUCAGUGCUCGUGCAGGCUGCGCACACGGUGCGGAUGGCCAGAUCCGCGAGUUCGCAGAUGGCGUGGAUGGCCGGAUUCGCAAGUUCGGCUACCCCGUGGCCUAGGAGAUGUGCGUGGAGGUCCUGCUCGAGGAGGCCGUACACAUGGGACUGCAGGGCUGCGGAAUGGCAUCGAGUAUGUGUACGAGACGGCGGCCGAGGAGGUGCGGCCCGACGGGCUGCUCGAGAAGGUGAUGGUCCUCAUGCUCAAGCACCAGGCACACACGGAUGAAGAUGUCGUCGGCGCCGAGGGAAGAUGAUGGCACAUCAGGCAUGACAUGUACAUCAAGAUCAAUAUCUUGGAGCCAACACCCAAAUGCAAAAGGGACAAAGCAGUACAGAGCCAACAUCCAUUGAAGGUAAGAUCAAUUAGAUAAUAGCAUUACAACAACCACAUGAUAGCAUACACCCACUAUCUUAGUGUACAUUACAAUAAUUAGAUAAUAGCAUUACAACAACCACAUGCAUGAUAGCUCUACCAUUCAACCUAAACAUCUCUACCAUUAAUUUCAUCAGAUAAGAAGUUCAACAUCUUGACAUGGUGUGCUUUCUUUGCCUUUCUGUAUGAUGAGGUGUCAAUCAUCAUAAGUUCUUUGAACUGCUUCAUUUUUUCCAUCUUCACCUUCUCUUUAUCUGCAGCAGCCAUAGUUGCUAGGGCUUGAUCAUGUCCCCUUGCAGCAGCAGCAGCCAUGUUUUCUAUUACCUCUGAUUUUCUUGCCUGCAGGUUAUUAAAUUAUCCCACAUUGUCAUCUGAUAAGCGAUCCUUCCCAUAAGUUGUUGAAGAAGUGUAAGCUUCUGAUGCUGACAUCUUAUUUCUUCCUUCUGCCCUUGUGGUCGACGACGGUCAGUGUCACAUGCCUCUCAGUUUCUUGGUUUGAAGAAGUGUAAGCUUCUGAUGCUGACAUCUUAUUUCUCUUAUUCCUAAUGACAGCAGCCACAUCUCGAUUAAGCCAUUUAGGCUCAUCCUUCACCUCUCUCCACCAAUACUCAAAUGGGAAAGGCUUUUCUGUUUGCUUCACCUUUUUUAUUCUUCAUGAACCAUCUCCAUAAGUUGUUGAUCUGACCGCCCACUUUGAUAUGUGUUUGAUAUUUCUGUCCAACAUCCCUAAAAUUUUGAAACAACUGCACUGGUUACAUUCCAAUGAUUUUUGCACUGUGUAGCUGUCCUCUUCUUUCCUUUAGGAGCAUACAUGUUGUAUUCAUCUGCAACUUGCUUCCAGUAAUGUGACCCAUUCUUUGAAUUGCCAUCAAUUGGAUUAUUUGAGUUGUUUAACCAAGCACUUAUCAGCUGCAGAUUGUCUUCUUCGGUCCAAAACAUACGCCCACCUAUCUUUUCCUCAUCUGAACCAGCAUCACCCCAUUCUUCAACUCUAAUUGGAUCUUUGUUUGUAUUUUUCUGCGGGAGCUAAUGGAGAAGUCACUGAAGAAGCUGAAGCCUCACCUCUUGAACCACCAACUGCAAAAGUAGCUGCUGAACCUGCUGGUGAUGAUGGAUUGCCAGCCAUAUCACCCAUGGAAAUUGCCAUGGAAAGGAAUGCUAUGGUGAUAGUUUGAAGGAGGGAACUUCUGGUAACCUGGUUGGGUUCCAAAAGGAUUGAAAUCCUGUGGGUAGUAGUGAGGUGGAAAGGAUCUGGGAUCAUAUUGAUGUGGUGGAAAAAAUAUAGGUAGAUGGGGUUGGAAACUAUAUUGUUGUGUGUUUGUGUUUUGAGGAUUUGAGCUUGGGAUUGAGGAAUUUACCAGGUUUGUGAAACUAGAUGAGGAAGAGUGCUCCAUUGUAGCUAUGUGUAAGUUUGAAUAUUUGCAUGUGUGAACUUCAUGUAUGUAUAUAGAUGGAGGCAAGUAAGCUGACAGUGGCAACGGCUCCGUGGCCAACGGCCAUAUGCACUGUCAUUAUUUUA
Panicum hallii is the source of this 2141-nucleotide long non-coding RNA. RefSeq lists it as uncharacterized. The transcript has 2 exons. NCBI's taxonomy places the organism in Eukaryota, Viridiplantae, Streptophyta, Magnoliopsida, Poales, Poaceae. The record is from RefSeq and is a predicted model, not a curated record.